This 450-nucleotide ribosomal RNA is filed under the name uncultured bacterium. RNAcentral describes it as "bacterial SSU rRNA". It matches the Rfam family "Bacterial small subunit ribosomal RNA", at positions 29 to 524 of the family's 1533-position model. The record is from RNAcentral.
AGCGAACGCUGGCGGCAGGCUUAACACAUGCAAGUCGAGCGGGCGUAGCAAUACGUCAGCGGCAGACGGGUGAGUAACGCGUGGGAACGUACCUUUGGUUCGGAACAACACAGGGAAACUUGUGCUAAUACCGGAUAAGCCCUUACGGGAAAGAUUUAUCGCCGAAAGAUCGGCCCGCGUCUGAUUAGCUAGUUGGUAGGGUAAUGGCCUACCAAGGCGACGAUCAGUAGCUGGUCUGAGAGGAUGAUCAGCCACAUUGGGACUGAGACACGGCCCAAACUCCUACGGGAGGCAGCAGUGGGGAAUAUUGGACAAUGGGGGCAACCCUGAUCCAGCCAUGCCGCGUGAGUGAUGAAGGCCCUAGGGUUGUAAAGCUCUUUUGUGCGGGAAGAUAAAUGACGGUACCGCAAGAAUAAGCCCGGCUAACUUCGUGCCAGCAGCCGCGGUAAU